This 131-nucleotide small RNA is filed under the name Escherichia coli. RNAcentral describes it as "partial RtT sRNA". It matches the Rfam family "RtT RNA", at positions 33 to 130 of the family's 130-position model. From Rfam's summary of the family: This family represents a bacterial cis-regulatory element known as RtT RNA. Lineage: Bacteria; Pseudomonadati; Pseudomonadota; Gammaproteobacteria; Enterobacterales; Enterobacteriaceae. The record is from RNAcentral.
UGGUCGCAGGUUCGAAUCCUGCACGACCCACCAAUUUUAACAUCAAACUCAGAUGUUAAGCGUGAAGGAUAACGUUGCGCCAGCAACGGCCCGAAGGGCGAGCGAAGCGAGUCAUCCUGCACGACCCACCA